UGGAAGUUGAGCAAGUUUUUGGCAAUUUGUUAGGUCAAGGCGAGAUAGAGAUGCUAAAUCACCUAUUGAGUUGGGUAUGCGGGCUAACAUUGCACAAUAAGAGGCAUCUAGAGUCUUGAGCUUCUUUAAAGAUCCAAUGGAUGAAGGUAAUUCUGCAAUAGCCGUAUAUUUCAAAUGCAACUCAGUCAAGGAUUUCAACUUUCCGAUCGAGUCUAGGAUUUGUCUCAACAACAAGCAUCCCGACAAUAACAACUGUGAUAGGGACAUGAGGGAGCCUAUGGAGUUUGGAAGUUGAGUCAAUUUAUGGCAAUCUGUUAGGUCAAGGCAAGACAAAGAUGCUAGAUUGCCUAUUGAGUUGGGUAUGCGGGCUAACAAUGCACAAUAAGAGGCAUCUAAAGUCUCGAGCUUCUUUAAAGAUCCAAUGGAUUCAGGUAAUUCUUCAAUGGCCGUAAAUUUCAAAUGCAGCUCAGUCAAUGAUGUCAACUUUCC
Molecule: long non-coding RNA, 489 nt
Filed under: Eucalyptus grandis
Lineage: Eukaryota; Viridiplantae; Streptophyta; Magnoliopsida; Myrtales; Myrtaceae
Description: long non-coding RNA (EGRA_LNC004927)
Source: RNAcentral